ACGCUGGCGGCAGGCCUAACACAUGCAAGUCGAGCGGCAGCACGGGUACUUGUACCUGGUGGUGAGCGGCGGACGGGUGAGUAAUGCCUAGGAAUCUGCCUGGUAGUGGGGGAUAACGUUCGGAAACGGACGCUAAUACCGCAUACGUCCUACGGGAGAAAGUGGGGGAUCUUCGGACCUCACGCUAUCAGAUGAGCCUAGGUCGGAUUAGCUAGUUGGUGAGGUAAUGGCUCACCAAGGCGACGAUCCGUAACUGGUCUGAGAGGAUGAUCAGUCACACUGGAACUGAGACACGGUCCAGACUCCUACGGGAGGCAGCAGUGGGGAAUAUUGGACAAUGGGCGAAAGCCUGGUCCAGCCAUGCCGCGUGUGUGAAGAAGGUCUUCGGAUUGUAAAGCACUUUAAGUUGGGAGGAAGGGUUGUAGAUUAAUACUCUGCAAUUUUGACGUUACCGACAGAAUAAGCACCGGCUAACUCUGUGCCAGCAGCCGCGGUAAUACAGAGGGUGCAAGCGUUAAUCGGAAUUACUGGGCGUAAAGCGCGCGUAGGUGGUUUGUUAAGUUGAAUGUGAAAUCCCCGGGCUCAACCUGGGAACUGCAUCCAAAACUGGCAAGCUAGAGUAUGGUAGAGGGUGGUGGAAUUUCCUGUGUAGCGGUGAAAUGCGUAGAUAUAGGAAGGAACACCAGUGGCGAAGGCGACCACCUGGACUGAUACUGACACUGAGGUGCGAAAGCGUGGGGAGCAAAC
This 747-nucleotide ribosomal RNA is filed under the name uncultured bacterium. RNAcentral's name for it is "bacterial SSU rRNA". It matches the Rfam family "Bacterial small subunit ribosomal RNA", at positions 33 to 773 of the family's 1533-position model. The record is from RNAcentral.